RNAcentral lists this ribosomal RNA (252 nucleotides) under uncultured bacterium. RNAcentral's name for it is "partial 16S ribosomal RNA". It matches the Rfam family "Bacterial small subunit ribosomal RNA", at positions 524 to 776 of the family's 1533-position model. The record is from RNAcentral.
UACGAAGGAUGCGAGCGUUAUCCGGAUUUAUUGGGUUUAAAGGGUGCGUAGGCGGCGAGUUAAGUCAGCGGUAAAAGCCCGGGGCUCAACCCCGGCCCGCCGUUGAAACUGGCUGGCUUGAGUUGGGGAAAGGCAGGCGGAAUGCGCGGUGUAGCGGUGAAAUGCAUAGAUAUCGCGCAGAACCCCGAUUGCGAAGGCAGCCUGCCGGCCCCACACUGACGCUGAGGCACGAAAGCGUGGGUAUCGAACAGG